Long non-coding RNA from Scophthalmus maximus (turbot), 991 nucleotides. RefSeq lists it as uncharacterized. The transcript is spliced from 2 exons. The record is from RefSeq and is a predicted model, not a curated record. NCBI's taxonomy places the organism in Eukaryota, Metazoa, Chordata, Actinopteri, Pleuronectiformes, Scophthalmidae.
ACGUCGGGUUCUUUUAGUCAAAUGCUCGUUCGUCAGCGGCAGCCAUCUUUUUUUUUUUUCAAAAGUCCCUUCCGUGUUUGUGAUUGGACCGGCACGUUCUCUGCCGGAGGGGGAAAUCACUUCCCAUUGGAGGAUGAUCCAGACAUGUCAAAACUGCCAAAAAAAAAAAAAGUUUUGCUCAUCGCCCCGGAGGCCGCAAACGUCCCGCCGCUGAUGAAACACACCACCUGUACCAGAGGAAACCCAGAGGAGCUCGGACACGCACGCACGCCACCGCUCGCCGCCAUGCAAGCUGCCAACGACUCACAACAUCAAUAAAGAGGCGCACAGGAACAAUGUGUGUACGCGUUCCCCUCCUCAAGGGUCCACGCAAAAAAAACUCCGGUUACCACUUUCUCCUAUUCUCUUUUUUACAGUGCGAGGGGCAAUUUCCUGCGCGAGAGGCUCACGCCGACGAGGUUCCAGAGCCAGGCAUUGAAUCUCGCAGCCCUUGUUAAACGCGCAGCUGUCGACGGCGGGAAGCGAGAGUGUGAAUUCUUGUGUCAUGCGGUGCGAGCGUGGGGGGGGCGGGGGGGGGGGCGACUCAUGGUCACGUAUGUGUGCCAGCGUGAGCGAGCCAACGAACGCGAGCGGGCGGUGACAUAAAUGUAAUGUUUUGUAUGCAAUUUGUCGCUCAGACAGUGGUGGAAAGUAACUUUGAUGUACAUUACCUCAAGUUAUAUUGCUACACUUCUAUACUCCUGCCUUACUGCAUUUCAGAGGAAAGUCUCCUACUGUUCACUCUACUUUCAUUUGCCAGCUGAAGCACGGUGUUCACAGAAUAAAGGUUUACAUGCAAAAUGUACGAACCAUUCACACGAUAGGAUUCUGCGUAAGAGUAUUAGGGCCAGGCGUGUGGGAAAAAAUGAGGGGGAAGAUAUUUUUUAUUCAUUUAAAAUGUCGAGAAUAAAGUCGUAAUGUCGAGAUUAAAGUUGAAAUGUCCCUAAACGUC